GCUUGUUGUACAAUAUCUGUGGAAAGAUAAAAGAAUCUUCUACUAUCAUUAACACUAGAGGUUUAGUCAUAGUAAGGAAUAAAGGCGAGACUGACUAUCGAAUAUAAAGUAUGUAUCCAGUGAACACAGAAAACUCGGGAAUAACAAUAUACAAAUUUUCUGAUUUAUAUUGGAAAUUUGCUACUGAUAAAAAGGAAAAUGAAUGUAAUUUUCUUCGGCUGUUGAUAAUGGGAUUGCGUGGGUGUUAGAUCAAUAAGUUGUCCAUGCUUUGUGUAUAUUGUGAGUUUGUGUUUACAACGUGAAAGUUAAAUGAAGAUAAAUUGACGAUGUCCUUAUAAUCAAUUGUAAUAUGUUCCACUGACACUUGGGGAAUGAAAAUAAAGGAACAGAAACGACGGAAAUAAAGUAAACUGUUACAGAGACUAAACCACAGCUGAUUUUAAAUAUGGAUAUAUGACUUAUUCAUAUUAAGUACAUGUCUCAAACCAAGUAGGAAGCCUCACAUCUCCGAAAAGUAUCUGCCUACCAUUUUUAUUCCUGACUGAGAGGGUUAAUCUUUGAAGCUUCUUUUGUUAAUAAAUAAAACAACAAAACAAGCGAACCAAUUAUUUUCUUUUACAUAAAGAAUAGAAAUUAA
Mytilus californianus (California mussel) is the source of this 637-nucleotide long non-coding RNA. RefSeq lists it as uncharacterized. NCBI's taxonomy places the organism in Eukaryota, Metazoa, Mollusca, Bivalvia, Mytilida, Mytilidae. The record is from RefSeq and is a predicted model, not a curated record. The transcript has 3 exons.